Molecule: long non-coding RNA, 653 nt
Filed under: Sinocyclocheilus grahami
Lineage: Eukaryota; Metazoa; Chordata; Actinopteri; Cypriniformes; Cyprinidae
Description: lncRNA (ENSSGRG00000041298.1)
Source: RNAcentral
AUGUCCCAUUGUACCUUUGCCUUCAAGGUGAUCCUGCAAUUGGAGACGGUGUGACUCGUCAUGUUUUUGCAACAAUCAUGUCAAAACUCCAGCAUGGUUUUGAACUACAACUUGGUUAGUGACCUAUACAAUACAUGUUAUUUUUUCCCCGUUUUCUUAGGAUAACUUUAAAAGAAGUUUACAGAAAUUUGUUGGCAUUAACAGUUAACUACUUACCAUUGGCCUUAGGGUUGAUAUUUUAAAAGGUUUCUGCAUUUGUCUUUUGUAAUGCAUGUGUAGCGAAUCAGCUCAUGGGGAAAUAUGAAUAAUUAAUAAUAACUAGGAACUCUUCUUUUUGAGGGUGAAAAGGAUCACUUGAUUCCCUCAACAUCACAGAGUUUUCUGGAUAGUGACUUCUUUGUGGUGGCAGGCCGUAUGAUCGGGCACUCAUUCCUGCAUGGUGGUCCAUGCUUAACUGGUUUAAGCCCAGCAAUAAUCCACAUGCUUUUUGGCGGAUCCCCUGAAACAGCCACCAUAGAUAUACUGGACUGUGUGGACACUGAUGUCCGUCAAGUAAUAGAGAUGUUGAAAGGCACAGGUGAAUUAUCAGAGGAGGAAAAGAGGGCUAUUUCAGACCGCUUGUUUCGAUCAUCAGAAGGCAAAUUCAUAGAUAC